GCGGACAGAUGGGAGCUUGCUCCCUGAUGUCAGCGGCGGACGGGUGAGUAACACGUGGGUAACCUGCCUGUAAGACUGGGAUAACUCCGGGAAACCGGGGCUAAUACCGGAUGCUUGAUUGAACCGCAUGGUUCAAUUAUAAAAGGUGGCUUUUAGCUACCACUUACAGAUGGACCCGCGGCGCAUUAGCUAGUUGGUGAGGUAACGGCUCACCAAGGCAACGAUGCGUAGCCGACCUGAGAGGGUGAUCGGCCACACUGGGACUGAGACACGGCCCAGACUCCUACGGGAGGCAGCAGUAGGGAAUCUUCCGCAAUGGACGAAAGUCUGACGGAGCAACGCCGCGUGAGUGAUGAAGGUUUUCGGAUCGUAAAACUCUGUUGUUAGGGAAGAACAAGUACCGUUCGAAUAGGGCGGUACCUUGACGGUACCUAACCAGAAAGCCACGGCUAACUACGUGCCAGCAGCCGCGGUAAUACGUAGGUGGCAAGCGUUGUCCGGAAUUAUUGGGCGUAAAGCGCGCGCAGGCGGUUUCUUAAGUCUGAUGUGAAAGCCCCCGGCUCAACCGGGGAGGGUCAUUGGAAACUGGGGAACUUGAGUGCAGAAGAGGAGAGUGGAAUUCCACGUGUAGCGGUGAAAUGCGUAGAGAUGUGGAGGAACACCAGUGGCGAAGGCGACUCUCUGGUCUGUAACUGACGCUGAGGCGCGAAAGCGUGGGGAGCGAACAGGAUUAGAUACCCUGGUAGUCCACGCCGUAAACGAUGAGUGCUAAGUGUUAGAGGGUUUCCGCCCUUUAGUG
RNAcentral lists this ribosomal RNA (799 nucleotides) under Bacillus licheniformis. Its description in RNAcentral is "bacterial SSU rRNA". It matches the Rfam family "Bacterial small subunit ribosomal RNA", at positions 66 to 845 of the family's 1533-position model. The record is from RNAcentral. Lineage: Bacteria; Bacillati; Bacillota; Bacilli; Caryophanales; Bacillaceae.